CCUACGGGAGGCAGCAGUGGGGAAUAUUGCACAAUGGGCGGAAGCCUGAUGCAGCGACGCCGCGUGAGGGAUGACGGCCUUCGGGUUGUAAACCUCUUUCAGCAGGGACGAAGCGUAAGUGACGGUACCUGCAGAAGAAGCGCCGGCCAACUACGUGCCAGCAGCCGCGGUAAU
RNAcentral lists this ribosomal RNA (174 nucleotides) under uncultured bacterium. RNAcentral describes it as "partial 16S ribosomal RNA". It matches the Rfam family "Bacterial small subunit ribosomal RNA", at positions 338 to 524 of the family's 1533-position model. The record is from RNAcentral.